CGAGGAAUUUUCCGCAAUGGGCGAAAGCCUGACGGAGCAACGCCGCGUGGGGGAAGAAGGCCUUCGGGUUGUAAACCCCUGUUGCGAGGGAAGAAGAUCUGACGGUACCUCGCGAGAAAGCCACGGCUAACUACGUGCCAGCAGCCGCGGUAAUACGUAGGUGGCAAGCGUUGUCCGGAUUUACUGGGCGUAAAGCGCGCGCAGGCGGACUGGUCAGUCCGGGGUGAAAUCUCACGGCUCAACCGUGAGGGGUCCCUGGAUACUGCCAGUCUUGAGGGGCUCAGAGGAGUGUGGAAUUCCGGGUGUAGUGGUGGAAUGCGUAGAUAUCCGGAGGAACACCAGUGGCGAAAGCGGCACUCUGGGGGCAACCUGACGCUGAGGCGCGAAAGCGUGGGGAGCGAACCGG
This 406-nucleotide ribosomal RNA is filed under the name uncultured bacterium. RNAcentral describes it as "bacterial SSU rRNA". It matches the Rfam family "Bacterial small subunit ribosomal RNA", at positions 355 to 776 of the family's 1533-position model. The record is from RNAcentral.